Anaerostipes hadrus is the source of this 74-nucleotide non-coding RNA. The record is from Rfam. Lineage: Bacteria; Bacillati; Bacillota; Clostridia; Lachnospirales; Lachnospiraceae.
GGACUCUUAUCUCAGUUGGUUAGAGAAAUCGUCUCAUAAACGAUAGGUCCUGGGUUCGAUUCCCAGAGAGUCCA